UACGGAGGGUGCGAGCGUUGUCCGGAAUCACUGGGCGUAAAGGGCGCGUAGGUGGCGCGGCCAGUCAGCGGUGAAAGUUCGGGGCUCAACCCCGAAUCGGCCGUCGAUACUCCCGGGCUCGAGCACUGUAGAGGCUAAUGGAGUUCCGGGUGUAGCGGUGGAAUGCGUAGAGAUCCGGAAGAACACCGGUGGCGAAGGCGGUUAGCUGGGCAGUUGCUGACACUGAGGCGCGACAGCGUGGGGAGCAAACAGG
RNAcentral lists this ribosomal RNA (253 nucleotides) under uncultured bacterium. RNAcentral describes it as "partial 16S ribosomal RNA". It matches the Rfam family "Bacterial small subunit ribosomal RNA", at positions 524 to 776 of the family's 1533-position model. The record is from RNAcentral.